UCGAUUGCUGGUUGGGUCAUUGUCAACUUGAGAUCCAUACUCAUCUUUGAAAAGACGGUUAGUUGGGCCCCCAAUGGGAAAUGACUUGCCCUGAAAAAAAGUUUAUCACCUUGGAAAAGCUUCCUCGCAAUAUUAUCGGAUUGAAAAACAACCUUGUGUCCCAACCAGUGCAGUAAAAUUUGGAAGGUACUGCAAUCGAUGUCGCUUGCUAGAUGGUAGGUGCUUGGAAGUAGGCACCCAGCCACCUAUAAACAUAAUGGAGAGGGAAAACCCAUGCGAGCAUGUCCCAAACUCUUUGAAGUGUUAGUCGCCACAUUGAGCCCAUUAUAGAUACUGCAUAAGAUGGGUUGGGCUUUUGGCCUUGGCCAAAUCACAAGCCAUAUAAAGGUACUCGGUCCUAAUUUCAGGACCCAAUAUAGGACGUCAAGUAGAUGGUAUCAAUUAGGUCUGUGGGACGGGUAGGCAUCUCAACCUUAAGGACAGGGGGCUUGUUACUUGAAGUUAGAAUAGGGUUGCCUAGUUCCCCUAUAGCCCUGUCUGAAUCGAAGAAAUGGGUGAUCCACACUUUAGGGCCUCCUUAAAGAGAAGCCAACUUCCAAAAUUCCUUGAAUGGCCUUCUCAAGGCUGUCGGCUUUCGAAGGCCGGGAUAAACUUUAUCCUCAAGUAUGAUGUCAUUAUCUGGGAUAAACUCCUCAUAACGAUCUCCAAGAAGGGAAAGAUCGUCAAUGAAAUGAAGAUCCAAGAGAGACAUGACGGCCUCCCCAUGGUCAAAGAAGUUGGUGUUUUUCGCUCAACACUAGGUCUCCAAGUAUGCCCUCACCACGUUAGUAUAACAAUCAUAUGGCCAGGUCAAACAUUCGCAGGCGCCUAAGAGUUCUGUGCUUAUGAGAUCAUUUUAGAAGCUGCUCUCUUCCUCACAUCUAAACUUGAGGGAUCCUGUCAGGCAGUACGCUUGGCAAUUUGAUGUGCAAGUAUAGGAAAUAUUCUAUUUCCAACGACAAUUUUAUGCUCAUAAUGGAGAAGGAGGAGGAAGACCCCGAUGAUAAUCCUUGCUAAACUUGCCAAGGCCAAGAGGCUCGAUCAAAUAAUUGAUAGAAAGGGGCCAUCUUAGAUAUUCAUUAACAUUGCCGUUAGCUUGGCAUACGGGUCUAUGACGAGCUAAUUCAACCCCGGUGCACUUUUCCCACCAAUCCUCUACUCCUUCAAGAAUUUCUUGGGACACAUGACAUCUAAAAUAGGAGAAAAGAGUUUCAUUUAAUCGGAACUUAUCUGCAUAUCAUUCAUAUUGGUCUAAGGCUCUGACCAACUACCGAAGCCUGUCAUGGCUUAAGUCGAAAGUCUGACCUUACAUUUCUCAUAUAUUGGGUUAAGAAUCUGACCGAUCAUUGAUGUUUGUCACAGUCACACACACACACGCUCACACACACAUACUCGCACUCACACUCACAUUCACACAUACUCACACUCACAGAUAUAUAAGCUAUCACCUCUAAUCUGAUAAGUCUAGACAAAAUUCCAUAUUACUAUGUAUAGAAUUAGGCACAAGAUUGUGUUUCGUCUCUUGAUGAGUUUGGGUAUGCUAAAUACCCAACUGUGAUAGUCCAUGUAAUUUUUUUUCUUAUUUGUACUUGUUUUUAUUAAUAUUGAUGAGCUUCAUUUUCAUCGAGUUUUCUUAUAAAUCAACAAGCAUGAAAGCAACUUAUCAUCGAGCCGGAUCUCUUUUCGUUAUUUGAUAUUUGAGAUCUUGAUCUUGCAAGCUUGAUUUGCUUAACGGUUCUUUCUUCUCUAGUUUAUUUCUGCUCUUGCUUCUUUCAUGCAAAUAUGGAGUGAAUUUGCUGGCGCUUUACUUGUGGUUUGCAAUUUUAUUAAGUAACGUUUUCUUAACACACACACUCUCGCUUCUUUCAUGCAAAUAUGAGUGAAUUUUCUGGAGCUUUACUUGUGGUUUACGGUUUUAUUAAUUAACUUUUUCUUAACACACACACUCUUGCUUCUUUCAUGCAAAUAUGGAGUGAUUUUUCUAGAGCUUUACUUGUGGUUUGCGAUUUUAUUAACUUUUUUUUAACACACACACUCUUGCUUCUUUCAUGCAAAUAUGGAGUGAAUUUUUUGAAGCUUUACUUGUGGUUUGCAAUAUCAUGCAACUUUUUCUUAACACACACACACACAUGCACACCAAACACACACACUCACGCUAAUGCAUAAGGAUGGGUUUAUAUAUACACUAAUGUAUAAGACCAUGUAUAUACUUAUUCUCACUGAUAUAUACAAUUAUUAGCUCAAUUUCUGUACGUAUUUAUGUAUAGCAAUAUAUACCACCGUUUUUCGAGUGUAUAUAUAUAUACUGAUGCAUAUAACCAUACAAUACAUUUGUUAUCCGUUAUAUAUACAAAUAGUGUGUAAAAAUACAUUUAUAUGUGCGUGUGUGUGUGUGAUGAUUAUACGAUGUGUAUAUACGGAUGUGUAUAUGUAAAGUACAUAAUUGUAUAUAUACAGUGCAUUAAUAUAUACAUUUCUAUAUACAUUGAUGUAUAUGACUAUAUGUACACUUAUUAUCGGUUUAUACAUUGAUUAACGCAUUGUCCAUUGAUUUAUGUACUACACAGACACACAUGCACUCACACUCACACUCACACUCACGCAUUCACACUCACACUCACACUCACACUCACACUCACACUCACACACUCACACUCACACUCACACUCACAUACUCACAUCAUACUCACAUCAUACUCACACUCACACUCACACUCACACGCACAUAUACGCACACAUACACACACUCACACUCACACUCACACUCUCAGUUAUAUAUAGUAUCACCUCUAAUCUGAUAAUCCUAUGCAAAAUUCCAUAUUACUUUGUAUAGAAUUAGACAUAAGAAUGGGUAUGCUAAAUUCCCAAUUGUGAUAGUCGAUGUUAAUUUUUUUUCUUAUUUGUACUUGUUCCUAUUAAUAUUGAUGAGCUUCAUCUUCAUCGAGUUUUCUUGUAAAUCAACAAGCAUGAAAGCAACUUAUCAUCGAGGCAGAUCUCUUAACGUUAUUCGAUAUUUGAGAUCUUGAUCUAGCAAGCUUGAUUUUCUUAAUAGUUCUUUCUUUUCUAGUACAGUGCUGCUCUUUCUUCUUUCAUGCAAAUACGGAAUGAAUUUUCUAGAGCUUUACUUGUGGUUUGCAUUUUUAUUAAGUAACUUUUUCUUAGCAUACAACUCUCUCUUCUUUUUUAACUUUUUCUUAACACACACACACACACACACACACCACACACAUACACU
RNAcentral lists this long non-coding RNA (3274 nucleotides) under Amborella trichopoda. RNAcentral's name for it is "long non-coding RNA (ATRI_LNC003391)". Lineage: Eukaryota; Viridiplantae; Streptophyta; Magnoliopsida; Amborellales; Amborellaceae. The record is from RNAcentral.